RNAcentral lists this ribosomal RNA (447 nucleotides) under uncultured bacterium. Its description in RNAcentral is "bacterial SSU rRNA". It matches the Rfam family "Bacterial small subunit ribosomal RNA", at positions 331 to 797 of the family's 1533-position model. The record is from RNAcentral.
CCAGACUCCUACGGGAGGCAGCAGUGGGGAAUAUUGCACAAUGGGGGAAACCCUGAUGCAGCGACGCCGCGUGAGUGAAGAAGUAAUUCGUUAUGUAAAGCUCUAUCAGCAGGGAAGAAAAUGACGGUACCUGAGUAAGAAGCCCCGGCUAACUACGUGCCAGCAGCCGCGGUAAUACGUAGGGGGCAAGCGUUAUCCGGAUUUACUGGGUGUAAAGGGAGCGUAGACGGCAGUGCAAGUCUGGAGUGAAAGGGGGGGGCUCAACCCCCGGACUGCUCUGGAAACUGUACGGCUGGAGUGCAGGAGAGGGAAGUGGAAUUCCUAGUGUAGCGGUGAAAUGCGUAGAUAUUAGGAGGAACACCAGUGGCGAAGGCGGCCUGCUGGACUGCAACUGACGUUGAGGCUCGAAGGCGUGGGGAGCAAACAGGAUUAGAUACCCCAGUACUA